Molecule: long non-coding RNA, 325 nt
Organism: Cygnus olor (mute swan)
Lineage: Eukaryota; Metazoa; Chordata; Aves; Anseriformes; Anatidae
Exons: 2
Source: RefSeq, a predicted model, not a curated record
CAGAUAAUCCAGCAAGUUUGCAGGCCAAAUGGCUCUCUGAAUAUGAGCCCACAAAGUGCUGAAUGAGAUGGCACGCUGCUCUGGGAGAUUCCAGCACAGCUAGCCAGAAGCCACUGAUCCAUGGUUAAUAGCAGUUAGCACUAUGCAUCUGAGCUCCUGGCUUUCUACAUGUAAUGAAUUAUUCUGCUUCGUGGGGAGCCAGCCAUGCAUUUGAUGUCUGGAACAGGGUCUCCUUUGCUGAGAGCUGCAGGCGCCUGAGAGCUCUGGUGGCUGCCGUUUGGGAUUGAGCACAGUCCCAGAGGACUCCCUGGCUCCUGCAGCUAUG